CAGGCUGGUUUGAUGGUUGUC
Molecule: microRNA, 21 nt
Filed under: Callorhinchus milii (elephant shark)
Lineage: Eukaryota; Metazoa; Chordata; Chondrichthyes; Chimaeriformes; Callorhinchidae
Description: Cmi-Mir-456_3p (mature (guide))
Source: RNAcentral